Molecule: ribosomal RNA, 253 nt
Filed under: uncultured bacterium
Lineage: Bacteria
Description: partial 16S ribosomal RNA
Rfam family: Bacterial small subunit ribosomal RNA
Source: RNAcentral
UACGUAGGUGGCAAGCGUUGUCCGGAUUUACUGGGUGUAAAGGGAGCGUAGACGGCGAUGCAAGCCAGAUGUGAAAGCCCGGGGCUCAACCCCGGGACUGCAUUUGGAACUGUGUGGCUGGAGUGUCGGAGAGGCAAGUGGAAUUCCUAGUGUAGCGGUGAAAUGCGUAGAUAUUAGGAGGAACACCAGUGGCGAAGGCGGCUUGCUGGACGAUGACUGACGUUGAGGCUCGAAAGCGUGGGGAGCAAACAGG